RNAcentral lists this ribosomal RNA (1405 nucleotides) under Ralstonia pickettii. RNAcentral's name for it is "16S ribosomal RNA". It matches the Rfam family "Bacterial small subunit ribosomal RNA". Lineage: Bacteria; Pseudomonadati; Pseudomonadota; Betaproteobacteria; Burkholderiales; Burkholderiaceae. The record is from RNAcentral.
CAUGCAGGUCGAACGGCAGCAUGAUCUAGCUUGCUAGAUUGAUGGCGAGUGGCGAACGGGUGAGUAAUACAUCGGAACGUGCCCUGUAGUGGGGGAUAACUAGUCGAAAGAUUAGCUAAUACCGCAUACGACCUGAGGGUGAAAGUGGGGGACCGCAAGGCCUCAUGCUAUAGGAGCGGCCGAUGUCUGAUUAGCUAGUUGGUGAGGUAAAGGCUCACCAAGGCGACGAUCACUAGCUGGUCUGAGAGGACGAUCAGCCACACUGGGACUGAGACACGGCCCACACUCCUACGGGAGGCAGCAGUGGGGAAUUUUGGACAAUGGGCGAAAGCCUGAUCCAGCAAUGCCGCGUGUGUGAAGAAGGCCUUCGGGUUGUAAAGCACUUUUGUCCGGAAAGAAAUGGCUCUGGUUAAUACCUGGGGUCGAUGACGGUACCCGAAGAAUAAGGACCGGCUAACUACGUGCCAGCAGCCGCGGUAAUACGUAGGGUCCAAGCGUUAAUCGGAAUUACUGGGCGUAAAGCGUGCGCAGGCGGUUGUUCAAGACCGAUGUGAAAUCCCCGAGCUUAACUUGGGAAUUGCAUUGGUGACUGCACGGCUAGAGUGUGUCAGAGGGGGGUAGAAUUCCACGUGUAGCAGUGAAAUGCGUAGAGAUGUGGAGGAAUACCGAUGGCGAAGGCAGCCCCCUGGGAUAACACUGACGCUCAUGCACGAAAGCGUGGGGAGCAAACAGGAUUAGAUACCCUGGUAGUCCACGCCCUAAACGAUGUCAACUAGUUGUUGGGGAUUCAUUUCCUUAGUAACGUAGCUAACGCGUGAAGUUGACCGCCUGGGGAGUACGGUCGCAAGAUUAAAACUCAAAGGAAUUGACGGGGACCCGCACAAGCGGUGGAUGAUGUGGAUUAAUUCGAUGCAACGCGAAAAACCUUACCUACCCUUGACAUGCCACUAACGAAGCAGAGAUGCAUUAGGUGCUCGAAAGAGAAAGUGGACACAGGUGCUGCAUGGCUGUCGUCAGCUCGUGUCGUGAGAUGAUGGGUUAAGUCCCGCAACGAGCGCAACCUUUGUCUCUAGUUGCUACGAAAGGGCAUUCUAGAGAGACUGCCGGUGACAAACCGGAGGAAGGUGGGGAGGACGUCAAUUCUUCAUGGCCUUUAUGGGUAGGGCUUCACACGUCAUACAAUGGUGCAUACAGAGGGUUGCCAAGCCGCGAGGUGGAGCUAAUCCCAGAAAAUGCAUUGUAGUCCGGAUGGUAGUCUGCAACUCGAUUACGGGAAGCUGGAAUCGCUAGUAAUCGCGGAUCAGCAUGCCGCGGUGAAUACGUUCCCGGGUCUUGUACACACCGCCCGUCACACCAUGGGAGUUGGCUUGACCAGAAGUAUGUUAGCAUAACCUCAAGGAGGGCG